UUAUGAUUCUCUGAAAUCCUGACAGUAUGGAAGGCAAAAAUUUCAGAAGCUAUAAAUUCAGUAAGUAUUGUAUUUAAAUUAUCAGACAAGACAUUUAGGUACUACCCUCACCUCAGCAGCUAAGAACAGUGUCCAUCGUUUCCUAGGCCAGGAGUGCUCAGGUGCCUUGUGUCCCUUUUAGGUGUGGAAUCGUGGUGAAUAUUAGCUAAGGGGAGCCCUGGCUGAGACCAGCAGGAGAAAGCUGCAGGUUUCUCGUACGCAAAAGGCUGAUGUGGGGCAUCAUAUCCCUUUGUAUAACUUUUUUUCAUGGAAGAGAACCUUUAUUUCCUGAGGGGGUCAAUAUUUGUAACUUCAACUUAAAAGCAGAUUACCAAAAAUCCCUGUCAUUCUUCACAUCCCCACGUCCCCAUGGGUUAUUAUUAACCUGGUUUCAUGCUAAACAUGCCUUUACACACACACACACACACACACACACACACACACACACACACACACCCUUAAAAGCUAGGUAUUUGUUAAAUGCAGAAGCUGUGGGAAGGAAAUAAAGUUCAGUCCAGCAGUUGACCCUGUCUGUCUAUCAUGUCUGUAGUUCUGGAACUUAAUAUACAGAAGUUUAAGUCUAACUGCACAAGAAAUCAUUUAUUUCUCACGUCCAAAUUUGCAAAGAAUGGAGUGAACGAAAUUCUGUUUGGAGAACUAGGGGAUUUUAAGGAGAUGGUAAGCAAAAUGAACUGGUCGGGCUAUCUAUUAUAAAGCCCCAGUCUGUACAACAUGAGCCGGAGGAAGCAAGCUUUACCCGCACAGCAGCCAGGCUGCAGUACCAGGUGGAGCGGCCAGCCUUUCCGGGUCUUACUCCUAGUCUCAUCUGAGCCCCACUUUCCAGGCCGUACUCAGUGCACUCCCACAGGUUGCCUGGUCUCCAAAUGGAAAUGAGCAGUGUGCAAGUGCAUAGGAGCACAGCGAGUGGGGCUUCCUAACUGCAAUUUUGGAAUGUCACAUGUAGGCUCCUGGUGGCACACUACAGUCACCCCAGUCCUCAGGUGACAGAAGCUGGACUAUAAGGAGUUAAAGGCAGUCGCUACACAGGAAGGCCCUGUCUCAAAAACAAAAAUAAUACAAUUAAGAGUGCAGGCUUAACAGGCAAAUUUCUAGUUGGUUUUGUAUUUAUUUAUUUCAGAUGUAUUUAUCUGAUAAAAGAAAUAUGGUAUCGGUUUUUUUCCAGUAAAUGAGAUGAUGGUGCUGGCGUAUCUCCACCCUCUACACUGGCAUAUGGUAGACUGUCACAUGCUGUAACAAAUGGAAAUGUGCUUGAAAAAUAUGCUUACCUUCUAAACAAUCAUGGCUAUUUGUUAUCUAAAUAUUUAAAACUUAACCAUGUCUUCAUGUGCACUGUGAAUGGACUUUGUAUUAUUUUUUUAAACCUUACACUCGAUGUAAAUGUUACUAUGACUUAGCCUGUGCUUGAUCUAAGAUCUUUUGUGUAGAUGGGUAAUUAAAAGAUACUGAAGUGACAUUAUAACUCUAUUAUGGAGAGCAUCUUUUACAUUGUCUUUGUUUUAAUGAGGAAGAGACACCUCUGUACCCAGGGUUGUGAUUUGGCCCCAUAAUAUAGGCAAAUCCGUGACCCAAGAAGCUUUCAAAGUGGCUUUUCUCAGAAGGCUUGCAUGUCAUAAACCUUGCAUUUCACAGUUGUAAUCCAUGUUCAGCCGAUGCUUCUUUUCCUGUCUUGAUAUUUGUCAAAACACUUUGGUCUUUUCUUCAGUAAAAUAUAAAAAAAAAAACAGUUUUCUAGCUACACUGUGGUGUUGUGGCCAUUAAUGAUGCUGGCAUGUUGAGUCCCACAGGAGCUUGCUAAGGGGCGUUAACUAACUCUUAGACCUGAAGGGAACCGUAUAGAUGACUUCUAUUCAUCCUGAUUAAAACCUCCCAUCCUCACUUUUUAUUGCCACCACACUUUGCCCCUAAAUGAUGCUCAUAAAGUAACUCGCCGGUGAUUAGCUGUGUGGUGUACUGUAGUGUUGAACCGUCCUUCAGACUCCCUGUGCUCGGCUGAAGUCCACACUGGGAGAAGGUGCAGAAAGACAUAUUUCUAGUCAGUG
Molecule: long non-coding RNA, 2099 nt
Filed under: Cricetulus griseus (Chinese hamster)
Lineage: Eukaryota; Metazoa; Chordata; Mammalia; Rodentia; Cricetidae
Description: lncRNA (ENSCGRG00015034786.1)
Source: RNAcentral